Long non-coding RNA from Melanotaenia boesemani (Boeseman's rainbowfish), 645 nucleotides. RefSeq lists it as uncharacterized. The record is from RefSeq and is a predicted model, not a curated record. NCBI's taxonomy places the organism in Eukaryota, Metazoa, Chordata, Actinopteri, Atheriniformes, Melanotaeniidae. The transcript has 3 exons.
AUUCAACACAUGAGUGCACUCUCCUUCAUGUGAAAAACGUCCUUUAUACACAGCGCACACAGUAUCAGAGCUGCUGCCUUUCUCCUUUUUCUCAAAUAUACAGUAGACACACAUUCAAUGACCUCCUGGGUACUGCUUUUUUGUGCAACGGUAUGUACUGCCAAGUCACACAGCUUGAGCAGCAGGGAGGUCCAGAAACCCAGAGGGAGAAAGUACGUGACAGAGAGCACACCAUGUAUGAAAAUGUGUGUGUCAGGUUGAAGGGGCUGAAGUGGGGUUUUUUCACUGACACCCUUGAAAAAGAUGCAGGGAAUGAAGCAUAGCCAGGAAGCCCAUAAAACAUAUGACAUCGAUCUGAAUCAGCAGAGCCAUGACAUCAUUGUCAACUGACUCUUAUCAUCGGUUGCAUGGUCACAGAAGAAAAGACCUCAGUCUCUAAUAACCAGCAGCAGAUGAGUCCAAGCAGGAAGACACUGCAGGAGCACAGGAAAUGGCUCAGGUCAGAAUAUGUUUGGAGAGAUCUUUCUUUUUGGCAAAAGGAUGGUCUCUCUGGUUUGUCUUGGAGGUCUCAGCAACAACCCUGCUGUGUUGAUGUGUUUUCUUUCCUUUUCUUUUUUCCAAAUGAGGAUGGCAGGGUAACAGAGA